RNAcentral lists this ribosomal RNA (468 nucleotides) under uncultured bacterium. RNAcentral's name for it is "partial 16S ribosomal RNA". It matches the Rfam family "Bacterial small subunit ribosomal RNA", at positions 28 to 507 of the family's 1533-position model. The record is from RNAcentral.
GACGAACGCUGGCGGCGUGCUUAACACAUGCAAGUCGAACGGAAAGGCCCUGCUUUUGUGGGGUGCUCGAGUGGCGAACGGGUGAGUAACACGUGAGUAACCUGCCCUUGACUUUGGGAUAACUUCAGGAAACUGGGGCUAAUACCGGAUAGGAGCUCCUGCUGCGUGGUGGGGGUUGGAAAGUUUCGGCGGUUGGGGAUGGACUCGCGGCUUAUCAGCUUGUUGGUGGGGUAGUGGCUUACCAAGGCUUUGACGGGUAGCCGGCCUGAGAGGGUGACCGGCCACAUUGGGACUGAGAUACGGCCCAGACUCCUACGGUAGGCAGCAGUGGGGAAUAUUGCACAAUGGGCGGAAGCCUGAGGCAGCAACGCCGCGUGCGGGAUGACGGCCUUCGGGUUGUAAACCGCUUUCGCCUGUGACGAAGCGGGAGUGACGGUAAUGGGUAAAGAAGCACCGGCUAACUACGUG